RNAcentral lists this ribosomal RNA (496 nucleotides) under uncultured bacterium. RNAcentral describes it as "partial 16S ribosomal RNA". It matches the Rfam family "Bacterial small subunit ribosomal RNA", at positions 29 to 507 of the family's 1533-position model. The record is from RNAcentral.
AUGAACGCUGGCGGCGUGCCUAAUACAUGCCAGUCGAGCGAACAGACGAGGAGCUUGCUCCUCUGACGUUAGCGGCGGACGGGUGAGUAACACGUGGAUAACCUACCUAUAAGACUGGGAUAACUUCGGGAAACCGGAGCUAAUACCGGAUAAUAUAUUUAACCGCAUGGUUCAAUAGUGAAAGACGGUUUUGCUGUCACUUAUAGAUGGAUCCGCGCCGCAUUAGCUAGUUGGUAAGGUAACGGCUUACCAAGGCGACGAUGCGUAGCCGACCUGAGAGGGUGAUCGGCCACACUGGAACUGAGACACGGUCCAGAAUCCUACGGGAGGCAGCAGUAGGGAAUCUUCCGCAAUGGGCGAAAGCCUGACGGAGCAACGCCGCGUGAGUGAUGAAGGUCUUCGGAUCGUAAAACUCUGUUAUUAGGGAAGAACAAAUGUGUAAGUAACUAUGCACGUCUUGACGGUACCUAAUCAGAAAGCCACGGCUAACUACGUG